UACGUAGGGUCCAAGCGUUAAUCGGAAUUACUGGGCGUAAAGCGUGCGCAGGCGGUUGUGCAAGACCGAUGUGAAAUCCCCGAGCUUAACUUGGGAAUUGCAUUGGUGACUGCACGGCUAGAGUGUGUCAGAGGGGGGUAGAAUUCCACGUGUAGCAGUGAAAUGCGUAGAGAUGUGGAGGAAUACCGAUGGCGAAGGCAGCCCCCUGGGAUAACACUGACGCUCAUGCA
RNAcentral lists this ribosomal RNA (230 nucleotides) under uncultured microorganism. RNAcentral describes it as "partial 16S ribosomal RNA". It matches the Rfam family "Bacterial small subunit ribosomal RNA", at positions 524 to 753 of the family's 1533-position model. The record is from RNAcentral.